CCUGCCUUGAUUUCCCUCGGUGAUGGACUACAUGUAACCUGUGGAUCUUUUGGUGGAAAUUAUGAAGUUAGUAGACAGAGAGGAAAAAAGAACUAUAAAAGAAGAGAAGGUCCUGAAAUGGAGCAGCUCUUCUCCAGUGAGAAGAAGUAACACAAGUGUUCUCUUCUUAGCCGGCUUUCAGAACAGAAGACACCCAGCAAGACCUUUAGCUUGUGGUUCACCUGAAAACAUUUGUGUGAGGUUUUCCCUUCUCCAAUCAGUUUUUAGAUCUUUCAUUUUGAUCUUAGGUUUUUAGGACACUUUAGACUUUAUUAUGCUUUUUUGAAUAAGAAUUUAUGGUUUGCCAUUCUUUAUAGAUGGUUCUACAUCUAACUAUUUAUCCAGACUUGGAUAGAAAAUAUUUGAAAAAUCUUGCAUCUGUUCUGAACAUUUACAGACCCCCCAUUAUUCCCUAAAAACACAGUGUACAGCGAUCAGGAGGGAUCUCACUCAUGCCAGCCACAAAGGCUUUACCACUGAGCUAUGUGCCCAGACCCACCUGAAAGCACAUGGGGAAUGUUUGUGGGCUUUACGGGAAUGGAACAUCAUUUGAGGAAGGUACUUGACAUCCACAGAUUUUAACAUCAAUGGGCUAUCCUGGGACUGGCACCCAAAGAUACUGACAUCCACAAGAUGUCCUGGUAUGCCCUGAAGAACCCUGACAUCUGUGAGUGUCUGAUAUAGACUCCCAAGG
Molecule: non-coding RNA, 733 nt
Organism: Peromyscus maniculatus bairdii (prairie deer mouse)
Lineage: Eukaryota; Metazoa; Chordata; Mammalia; Rodentia; Cricetidae
Source: RefSeq, a predicted model, not a curated record